This 624-nucleotide long non-coding RNA is filed under the name Mytilus galloprovincialis (Mediterranean mussel). Lineage: Eukaryota; Metazoa; Mollusca; Bivalvia; Mytilida; Mytilidae. The record is from RNAcentral.
UGCAUGCUGAGUCUUUUUAAGACGUAACGCGCGUCCGGCGUAUAUACAAAAUUUCAAUCCUGGUAGAUUAUGAUGAUAUAAAAAAGAAGAUUUGUAUGGUUGUCAAUGAGACAACUCUCCACAAGAGACCAAAUGACACAGAAAUUAACAAUUUUAGGUCGCCGUACGGUCUUCAACAAUGAACAAAGCCCAUACCGCAUAGUCAACUAUAAAAGGCCACGGAAUGACAAAUGUAAAACAAUUCAAACGAGAAAACUAACGGCCCAAUUAAAGAACAAAAAAUGAACGAAAAACAAAUAUGUAACACAUAAACAAACGACAACCACUGAAUUACAGGCUCCUGACUUGAACAGCCACAUACAUACAGAAUGUGGCGGGGUUAAACAUGUUAGCGGGAUCCAACCUCCCCUAACGUGAAAGUGUGUAACAGUACAACAUAAGAACAAAUUUAACAAAUCAGUUGAAAAAGGCUUAACUCAUCAGAUGGAUAAAAUUGAAACACAUCCAACAAAACACAAAGUGGACGUGGCCGGGUACUUAAUUGUACUUGUACAUUCCAACAACUAAAUACAAAACGUACUCGCUCCGUUACUAACAGCUAGUUCAACUAGGUUAACUAUAACC